CAUCCAUCAAUUAAAACCAUCAAUACUGCAGACCAUUAUCAUUAUGAUUUUCAUCACUAAUAUUAUCAAAAAUAAUUAUAAUAAGUGUAAAAUAUUUUUUUAUCAUUUUCAAAAAGUAAAAUUAUGUUUUUAAAAAAUUAAAAUUUUGAAAGUAACACCAAAUCUAAAAAAAUAUAUAUAAAUAAUCUUUUUAAGAAAAGAUUAAGUAGAUAGAUAAACUCGUGCAACUCU
This 231-nucleotide long non-coding RNA is filed under the name Elaeis guineensis (African oil palm). Its description in RNAcentral is "long non-coding RNA (EGUI_LNC005368)". The record is from RNAcentral. Lineage: Eukaryota; Viridiplantae; Streptophyta; Magnoliopsida; Arecales; Arecaceae.